CCAAAACAUCUCUUUUUGAAUUUAAUAAAAAGUUUAACCUGCCCACUGAAAAUUUUAAAUGGCCGCAGUAUUUUGACUGUGCAAAGGUAGCAUAAUCAUUAGUCUUUUAAUUGAGGGCUGGAAUGAAUGGUUGGACGAAAUAUUAACUGUUUCAUAUUAAAUUAUAAUAAAAUUUUAUAUUUUAGUAAAAAAGCUAAGAUAUUAUUAAAAGACGAGAAGACCCUAUAAAUCUUUAUAUUUACUGAGUUUAUAAAAAUUAGAAAUUAAAUUUUAUUUAUUUAUAUAAAUAUUUUAUUGGGGUGAUAUUAAAAUUUAAUUAACUUUUAUUUAUUUAUACAUUAAUUUAUGAUUUUUUGAUCUUUUAAUAUUGAUUAAUAGAAUAAGUUACUUUAGGGAUAACAGCGUAAUUUUUUUGGAGAGUUCAUAUUGAUAAAAAAUAUUGCGACCUCGAUGUUGGAUUAAGAAAUAAAUUUGGGUGAAGAAGCUUAAAAUUUAAGUCUGUUCGACUUUUAAUUUCUUAC
This 521-nucleotide ribosomal RNA is filed under the name Melophagus ovinus. RNAcentral describes it as "partial 16S ribosomal RNA". The stretch from base 395 to 521 matches the Rfam family "Bacterial large subunit ribosomal RNA", at positions 2473 to 2599 of the family's 2925-position model. The record is from RNAcentral. Lineage: Eukaryota; Metazoa; Arthropoda; Insecta; Diptera; Hippoboscidae.